GUCCUGUUCGUCUAGUUGGUUAGGAUACUGGAUUUUCAUUCCAGCAACAGGGGUUCAAAUCCCCUACAGGAUG
RNAcentral lists this transfer RNA (73 nucleotides) under Candidatus Pinguicoccus supinus. It matches the Rfam family "tRNA". From Rfam's summary of the family: Transfer RNA (tRNA) molecules are approximately 80 nucleotides in length. Lineage: Bacteria; Pseudomonadati; Verrucomicrobiota. The record is from Rfam by way of RNAcentral.